RNAcentral lists this ribosomal RNA (253 nucleotides) under bacterium. RNAcentral describes it as "partial 16S ribosomal RNA". It matches the Rfam family "Bacterial small subunit ribosomal RNA", at positions 524 to 776 of the family's 1533-position model. The record is from RNAcentral. RNAcentral also lists the same sequence under 4 other names.
UACAGAGGGUGCGAGCGUUAAUCGGAUUUACUGGGCGUAAAGCGUGCGUAGGCGGCUUUUUAAGUCGGAUGUGAAAUCCCUGAGCUUAACUUAGGAAUUGCAUUCGAUACUGGGAAGCUAGAGUAUGGGAGAGGAUGGUAGAAUUCCAGGUGUAGCGGUGAAAUGCGUAGAGAUCUGGAGGAAUACCGAUGGCGAAGGCAGCCAUCUGGCCUAAUACUGACGCUGAGGUACGAAAGCAUGGGGAGCAAACAGG